AGUGAACGCUGGCGGUAGGCCUAACACAUGCAAGUCGAACGGCAGCACAGUAAGAGCUUGCUCUUACGGGUGGCGAGUGGCGGACGGGUGAGGAAUACAUCGGAAUCUACUUUUUCGUGGGGGAUAACGUAGGGAAACUUACGCUAAUACCGCAUACGACCUACGGGUGAAAGCAGGGGAUCUUCGGACCUUGCGCGAUUGAAUGAGCCGAUGUCGGAUUAGCUAGUUGGCGGGGUAAAGGCCCACCAAGGCGACGAUCCGUAGCUGGUCUGAGAGGAUGGUCCGCCAAACUGGAACUGGGAAACGGUCCAAAACCCUACGGGAGGCAGCAGUGGGGAAUAUUGGACAAUGGGCGCAAGCCUGAUCCAGCCAUACCGCGUGGGUGAAGAAGGCCUUCGGGUUGUAAAGCCCUUUUGUUGGGAAAGAAAAGCAGCAGGUUAAUACCCCGCUGUUCUGACGGUACCCAAAGAAUAAGCACCGGCUAACUUCGUG
RNAcentral lists this ribosomal RNA (492 nucleotides) under uncultured bacterium. RNAcentral describes it as "partial 16S ribosomal RNA". It matches the Rfam family "Bacterial small subunit ribosomal RNA", at positions 29 to 507 of the family's 1533-position model. The record is from RNAcentral.